This is a long non-coding RNA of Rhea pennata, 489 nucleotides long. RefSeq lists it as uncharacterized. NCBI's taxonomy places the organism in Eukaryota, Metazoa, Chordata, Aves, Rheiformes, Rheidae. The transcript is spliced from 3 exons. The record is from RefSeq and is a predicted model, not a curated record.
CCCCGAUCCCGGUGACACCGGCUUCGCGUCCUCCCAUUAACCCUGCGCAGAGGGGACAAAAGCGAAAACUAUGAUCCUGCUCCCGCUUCCCCCAUCCCAUCCCCAGCUCCGUGGGCUUCGACAUCCUCCCGUUCGCGCUGAAAGGAGAGGAGAACAAGGGCUGCUGCUGAUUGCCUUUUAGAGCUCCCCGAUGGCAACACGAUUUUAUUAAAUAUUCCGGGAGAAAGUAAUGAAGAUGAAAUCGUGGCAACCCGACUGCGAGCGCUGAACGCUCCCCCGACUCGAGCCAGCCUGCAGACUCCAACUCUCUCUCCUGCUGAACUUGCUGUGAACAAAAGGCUCCGUUCCAGAUCCAGCCCGGAGUUGCCGUGAGAAACUUCAUUGCAAGCCCUGUCUGUCGCUCUGCCUCCCUCGCUUGCUCUCUCCCUCCCUGGCUCAGUAAAAUGGCAGUGCGAGAGCUUUAUGAAAAGGGUGAAAAACCUUCUUUCU